AGUGAACGCUGGCGGUAGGCCUAACACAUGCCAGUCGAACGGCAGCACAGUAAGAGCUUGCUCUUACGGGUGGCGAGUGGCGGACGGGUGAGGAAUACAUCGGAAUCUACCUUUUCGUGGGGGAUAACGUAGGGAAACUUACGCUAAUACCGCAUACGACCUACGGGUGAAAGCAGGGGAUCUUCGGACCUUGCGCGAUUGAAUGAGCCGAUGUCGGAUUAGCUAGUUGGCGGGGUAAAGGCCCACCAAGGCGACGAUCCGUAGCUGGUCUGAGAGGAUGAUCAGCCACACUGGAACUGAGACACGGUCCAGACUCCUACGGGAGGCAGCAGUGGGGAAUAUUGGACAAUGGGCGCAAGCCUGGUCCAGCCAUACCGCGUGGGUGAAGAAGGCCUUCGGGUUGUAAAGCCCUUUUGUUGGGAAAGAAAAGCAGCAGGUUAAUACCCCGCUGUUCUGACGGUACCCAAAGAAUAAGCACCGGCUAACUUCGUG
Molecule: ribosomal RNA, 492 nt
Filed under: uncultured bacterium
Lineage: Bacteria
Description: partial 16S ribosomal RNA
Rfam family: Bacterial small subunit ribosomal RNA
Source: RNAcentral